Molecule: non-coding RNA, 112 nt
Organism: Acanthosepion pharaonis
Lineage: Eukaryota; Metazoa; Mollusca; Cephalopoda; Sepiida; Sepiidae
Source: the annotation of a GenBank genome assembly
UAUGGCCAAAUCACACUGAAACACUGGUUCCCAUACAAUCACUGCAGUUAAGCAAUGUUUCACCUGGUCAGUACUUAGAUGGGUGACCACUUGGGAAUACCAGGUACUGUAA